Drosophila subpulchrella is the source of this 718-nucleotide long non-coding RNA. RefSeq lists it as uncharacterized. Lineage: Eukaryota; Metazoa; Arthropoda; Insecta; Diptera; Drosophilidae. The transcript is spliced from 2 exons. The record is from RefSeq and is a predicted model, not a curated record.
AAUCUAGAAAUUCACUUCAAAUAUGUAAGGAAAGCCCUGAAAAUGCCUUCACCUAGACAUCCAAAUAUCAUUGAAAAAAACCUCCUGGAGAAUAGAUCCAAAUGCUUCCAAAAGUGGAGUAGCCUGGCAAACGCCCACAACAUGGAAGGAAAAUAAGCGUAUCUCAUUCAAGCGAUAGCUGACCAGGACAGACUAAUGUGGGAAAAUUAAGCGCCUCAGAGACUUGUGCGAAAUAAAUAUUCAAUGACAAAUUACAAUAUAGCAGAUUACUGGAACUACUUUCAGAACGAGAUGGGGACCGAAAAGAUAUCCUUCAAAUUCAAGGCAAAAGUUGAAAUGCCCCAGCUUAAAAAUAGACCGCACCUCCAAACUAAAGGUAAUGCGUGCCCCCUAUGCAACGCGAGGGAAGCAGGACACCCAGCACAUCCUAGCAAGAUGCUAGAUACUGCAGGAAUUCCGAUUGGUUACCUUCGGCAGUACAGCGAUGACUGAAGACGAGUUGAUUAACUUAUUUAAUGGGAUUAACUGGAACUCGGUAGCAGCUUAUAUGGAGAGCGCCCAAAAAUAUAGAAAUUAAAUCAUAUUAUGUUGCCCUAUGGUCAUUGCAUUAAGUUUAUCAAAUGGUUAAAACCACCUAGUUAAAUUGUGCUCGUUCAAUGGCUACCGGCAAUUUGCCAAGCCAAUUUUAGGUCAAAAUAAACUACUAUAACUACCAUUA